RNAcentral lists this ribosomal RNA (458 nucleotides) under Salmonella enterica. Its description in RNAcentral is "partial 23S ribosomal RNA". It matches the Rfam family "Bacterial large subunit ribosomal RNA", at positions 1299 to 1757 of the family's 2925-position model. The record is from RNAcentral. Lineage: Bacteria; Pseudomonadati; Pseudomonadota; Gammaproteobacteria; Enterobacterales; Enterobacteriaceae. RNAcentral also lists the same sequence under 1 other name.
GACAUAAGUAACGAUAAAGCGGGUGAAAAGCCCGCUCGCCGGAAGACCAAGGGUUCCUGUCCAACGUUAAUCGGGGCAGGGUGAGUCGACCCCUAAGGCGAGGCCGAAAGGCGUAGUCGAUGGGAAACGGGUUAAUAUUCCCGUACUUGGUGUUACUGCGAAGGGGGGACGGAGAAGGCUAUGUUGGCCGGGCGACGGUUGUCCCGGUUUAAGCGUGUAGGUGUGUGUUCCAGGUAAAUCCGGUUCACUUUAACACUGAGGCGUGAUGACGAGGCACUACGGUGCUGAAGCAACAAAUGCCCUGCUUCCAGGAAAAGCCUCUAAGCAUCAGGUAACAUCAAAUCGUACCCCAAACCGACACAGGUGGUCAGGUAGAGAAUACCAAGGCGCUUGAGAGAACUCGGGUGAAGGAACUAGGCAAAAUGGUGCCGUAACUUCGGGAGAAGGCACGCUGACAC